CUUGCUUAGUGGGUUAGGGAUCCAGCGUUGCUGUGAGCUGUGAUGUAGGUCGCAGAUGCGGCUCGGCUCCCUCGUUGCUGUGGCUCUGGCAUAGGCUGCCGGCUACGGUCCAAUUAGACCCCUAGCCUGGGAACCUCCAUAUGCUGUGGGAGUGGCCCAAGAAAAGGCAAAAAGACAAAAAAAAAGAAUUUGAACUGUUGAUACACAUAGCAACUUGGAUGCAUCUCAGAGGUGUUGGGCUAAAUGAAAAAAGCCAGUGUCAAAAAGUUAUAAGCAAUGGGAUUCCAUUUAUCUGACACCCUCAAAAUGACAUAACUAUGGGGAAGGCAUCAGUGGUUAUCAGGGUUUGGGAAAAGGGGCAACAGAAGGGAAUUUAUUUUGGUGAUACAAUCGCUCUGUGUCUCGGUAAGGUGAUGGUAAACAUGCAAGUUACAUGCCAGAAUUCAUAGAACUAUUCACAGAAAAUUGUAUUUCACUGUACACUAAUUUUAAAAACUUAAAAAAAAAUGAAAGCAGGAGAAUAAAAUAAAGGAACAGGAAACCAAGGAAGGUUGUGUGUCUGAGCCCACGUAAGAGCAUGGCUGUGGUCUUGCAAUUGUUCUGCUCCAUUUAUCCACCCACUCAGCAGGCUUUGCUCUCCUUGGUUGAGGCUCAGAGGCAGCCGUACCCUCCCACUGCCCAUGAUCAGGUCCCCCACCCAAGACCUAUAAGGAGUUGUUCAGUUUCUGUUUGAGCAAAUCCCAUAUCAGGAAGCCNUUUCACCCAUUUCAAGACUUCAUAUUAGAUUGACAUGUAUGCCUUCAGUGUAACUUCUUCUCUGUAACUUCCACCAGUGGAAUCUAAUUUUGCUUACUGGCAAUGAAAUAAAACUAAGUCCAGCCUCUCUUAAAACUCCAGAAACAUCUGUAUAUCACAGGUACAUCUCUGCCCUCUCAGCAUCCCACCUCUGCUUCUCAGAACUGUUUCUUUGCUUAUCCAGCUACACUAAUUUCCAGACAUUCCACCUCUGUGAUCUCUUUUGUCUCCUGCUUCAUUUGCCAGCAUCCCUCUGAAAAUGUAGGGGCGAGAGUGAAUGUGCAUCCUUUGCCUGUGGUUGGACCUAGAGGACAGAGCUGGCCUGCUCUCUUGCAGAUUUGAAGAGCUUUUCGGUUAGGGACACUGAUGGUUGCUUCUCUGUCUCUAGAAGCCGUAUUGCUCAAUGGACCUAAAGUGUGCAAACACUGUCUCUUUACACAUGCUGCUAUGAAGCCUCAGCUCCCCAUCCUGUUCAGUAGGAGCAGGUUCGUUCUUUCACCGCAGAUUUCCAAAUUUACCCUGUUCAGUUAGGUCUUCCUAGGGUGACCAUCCUGAACUUUCCAGAUCACUUUGCAACCUGCAGGGUUCUGGCAUCUGGAGUAGCCUUGGGCUCAGUCAUGCCACAUCUUCCUCUCCACCAUCUUCAUCUUCUAAAAGAAUUGAAGGAGGGAGAAGUCUGAACUUCCUUUCUGCCCCAUUACCUAACUCACAGGGAGAGUCUCUUCCACAAGAAAAGAAAUUCCAGUAUGCCCUAAGGUUUCCUCUGCCUGUGUUCCUUUCUGAAAAGAUUCCUCUUGUGUUCUGAAUGUUGUCACUCUUUAUAGGUGACUGUUAAUUGGAUGCCUUGAUGCCAGUUUAGGUGGCUGGGGCAGGAUGGCGCCGCAUAAACACAAGUUAUCACCCUAAUUAGCAUCACUGCAUAUUUAAGCAGGUUGGAAACCUUGCGGCUUCCUCUGGAACUUCAUAGGUGGGUAGUUAUUAUGGAAUUACUACACAUCUGCGUAUCUUAUUUCCAUAAUUGCCACACUUGAAAGGUGACUACUGGUCUGUUCUAGAAUGAAAAGGUGUUAAUUAUGUUAAUCAUCAGGAAUUCUGAAGCAGCUUCUCUUCCUGGGUCCUGGAGGGGAGUGGUGCUGGAGAGGACAGAAAAGGCAGGUGGCCGGGGACCCGGUGCCAGUGUGAGGGCAAAAGGACAUGAAAGCAAGUAGAGACUCUAUGGAGAAAAGUGAGAACACUAGCUAAAGGAAAAGCAAAUUAUAAAUGGUCAUUGAAGCAAUUUGUUGGCAUGAUUAAAAAGUGCUCUCGGCUAUAAUGAGGUAAAUUAAGUAGGCCAGGGAUUUGGUGCAAUUUGCUUCUGAACUAAGUCCCCUGUGGAUUUCGUCCAGCAAGACUUCUUCUAACAGAUUGCUCAGGCUAUGAGGGUAGAGGGAGAAGGUGCUAGAUUGUCUUUGUUUCUCCUUCUAGAAAUCAGGUGUUUAAUUCCAAAAUUCUUUUUUUUUUUCUCAUUUCACCAAAAACAAAUAACUAAAAUCACCCCAGAAGCAAAAAUUCUGUGCUGGUUCAUCUUAUCAAAAGCUUGGAACAUCAGGACAGAGAGCCCAACGUACUAGUGCAACGUUACCAAACCCGAGCUGUUUUAUAUAGCUAUUGCUGAACUCGUUGACCAAGAGACUGCAUUCGGUUUGGAGCCAUUACCUAAAACAUCUGCCACUAGGUUCUAAAGGCCUACUCUUGAUGGGGGAGAGGGAGCAUGUGGCUUCUAGGUGGGUGGUCCCUCUGGUUGCUGGUCUGGCUAAUGGCGCCUCCACCUUCUUCACUGUGUCUCUCCCAAAGCAUCAGACACUGUCAAAAGGGCCCUUUUAUGAGUGACCUUAAAAUAGUCAAACUGCCCAUCCUGCCAAUCUGAGUGAAGUGACUCGGGGAGAAAGAAAAGAAGAAGCUUCAUUAAAAACAGCUUAAACUUUCUGUCAAGUAGACUUUGCACAUGGCCAUUAAAAUACAGAUUUCAUGUGAGCUCUUCCUUUAUUCUCAAAUCACCAAACUUGUACUGUGUUGAUUGUAAGCUUCUUUUGCUUUAAGUCUGCCAUGGACCUAAUAUUUUUCUUUUUACUCUUUUUCAACAGAGGAAGUAGGUAGUAUAUAAUGUUAUCCACUUUAUGCGUGUUCUUGUGUAUAUACAAGCACACAAAUGGGACUUUCUUUAACUUAAGGUUAAUACAUUUCCCAACAAAUGUAGGGUAAUCUAGCUGAAGAGGAGAAUUGGGAAUAGUAGCCGGCAGGCGUUUCAAUCACAGAUUCUAAAUUGCGCUUCAGUUAAUAAUGAAAUUCUUGCAGGAAUUAGCUGCAAACUUGUAUUCAAGAAUCGAAUUUGAGGAGUUGUCCGUAUUGAUUUGUGAGGUAUAAUGGUGCUUCUCGUGAUCAGAAUGCUGUGAAUUUGCUGCCUGCAGAGAGAAUGAGAGAGUGGAUCAGGGGAGUCUGUUCUGGGAGAGCCCCAGCUAUGCUGAAGCACAUAGUCCCUGCUGGUGGGGAGUCAGAAGCCUAGUCAUUGUGUACAGGGAUUUUCAUAGAGUGUGGUAAAGACCUGGCUUAAUUUUAUUACAUAUAUAAGAGCAUUAUUUUAUAUAGCUAUGUAAAUAUAUACAUAUAUCUAUAUAGAUGUGUACAGACAUAAACAUACAUGCAUGUAUACAUAUGCAUGAAUUAUGUAUCUUAUACUUGCAUAUAUAAUAUGUGAAAUAAAAAUCUGUUCUUUCAUUAAAAACAACUUCAAUGCCAGAACUUCUCUCCUCAUGUGCAAUUUCAGGGUCUCUGAAAAUCAUUUGCAACCAAGAUAAUAACAUAAAUUCUAGAAUUUACUGAAUGAAUAAACAAUUUGUAUUGAAAGUAUCUGCUUUACAUGAUAAUGUAAAGUCUGAUUUCUUCUUUAUAUUGGGUUUCAACACUUAUCUUUCUGCUAAGAAACCAAUGAACAACUUAUAUGUAAAUAUAAAUAUUUUUUGAAAAGUUGUUUCUGCCUCUCAUCCACGUGUCUGAAUUCUUCCAACUCCCCAGGGUACCCCACCUCCUGGGCUUCUUGCACCUGUUCUCAUUUUUCUGAGUAACCAAGCUGACAUUGUCACUUUCUGGAAGGAGAGCUUUACCUUGGGGGGUCUUGGAGAAUGUUGCUAUUAUACCUAUCUUUGAGUCACCAGGGGCUGAGUGUACUGUGCCCAGGUAUAUGUUAAUGAAAGGCAUAUCUUUGAAACCAUCAGAAGAUUGUAGGUUCCACUCUGAAGAAAUGAGGGACAGUCUUACCACUUGUAAAAGCCCUACUGGUUCUUUCCUCUUUCUCUGCUAGUGUAGAUGAUCUCGCUUGGCUGGGUAAUUACCUCCUCUGGAAAAAUGAUGAUUUGUCUUUAUUCUUGUGGUACUAAUGUUUUCCCAACCUAAUGUUUUAGUACAAGACUUCCUCCACAUAGGAGUGAAACAUGCAUAGUUUCAUAGUUGUCAUGAGAUGCUGAAUGAGAAACAAGAAAACCAGAAGAGACUCUUCUAAGAUCAUGGGGCACAGCGUGAAAGAGGAAGGUGUACUUAGAUGAAAUGAAGAGAAAAAUGUCAGCGGGUAGAAUUCCAGAGAGAGGGGAUCCUUUCGCCUCAAACCCUUUGCUUUUGCUCUUACUGUUUCCCAUUGUUCUUUCCACUUAUCUGAGUCCCAUUCAUCCUUCAAGACCCACUGCCACAUCUGCUCUCUCAAGCUGUCAGCUCCCUCCUCUGCUGUCUGCACAGUGAGUAUUUGCCCCGCUAAGUCACACUUAAUCCUCUGUACCUGAGGGUAGUUCUCAGCACCUUGCUCUCUGGUUACUGAGUUCUUAUUAAACUUUUCAUAUCUCCUCUCCCAUAUCACAUGCCUUUGUGUGGCUCUGGACAUGCAGUAGAUACUCAAAAAGUGAAUUUGAUCAAAGAUCUCAUAAGAUGUUCAGUGGUCUCCCUCUCUUAGGUUAGCUUUCUUACUCUGCAGAGGAUUGAUAGCUGACUGUUGAACAGAAGAUGAUAUAGUGACACUCACUAGAUACUUCCUCCCCAGCGGCCAGGCCCCAUCUUCUUUGUGUCCCCUUGUGUCCCACGCACAGAUCAGGCACACCGGAGCCCUCUCUCUGAAUUGAAAGGAAGAGAAAGGGCCACCUUCCUGAUGCUCUGGCCCCAAAUGAAAUAGCUGCCAGCUCAGAACCCAGAGCGUGGGCUGGCCUGGCUUCCUCUUGGGCCCAACCUGCAGUGACAGCCCUCCUCAACGCAAAAGAACUGAAAUGCUGCUGGAUCCUGAGACAGCUGGAGAUAACCAGGUGCAGGCUUGGCUGCCUUCCUCCAUCUAGGGAUCCAGGACUUCCUCCAUUUAGGGAAGUCACUAACCUACACCACCCACAGGAAAGGGGAAACGUUUCAAAUAUCUCUUUCUUUUUUUUUCUUUUUAAAAUUCUGAUUCUGUCUAUUCCCUCUUGAAUUGCACUUAUUUUGCUUGUUACUUUGUGUUGACUCAGGAAAAAUACCCCUAAAGCAGCUCCCCCCCCAUCACCAUAUCUGUCUUUUAUACCAUCUGCAGGUGAUCAGGGGAGUGAGAUUGGGAGGUGGGUGUUGGGGGAAAGGGGACUCUCAGUAAACUUGCAGGUGUCUUUGCACCCAGCCCUGCGUGGUGUCUUCUGAGCAGGUAGGGCCCUGGGCAGGGCAUGGCUGCAGGAUUCCUGGAUGUCAGCUCCUGGCCAGCCCACAAAGAUCUACCUUUAAGUACAGCAGUGCUAAGGCCAUUUACAGUCAGUACUGUACAUCCUAAUUAACAAAAAUAUUCAUUCCUUUGUCUUAGAGAUGAAUUUUGUUUCUCUCUCUAGAUCGACUUACCCUGCCCACUGUUCUUUGUUGUUUGUUGUUCUAACUCAGCUAGGAGUCCAGGAUUUAGUUUUUUCUUUUCUCUUUCCAAUCUCCACUCUCACACACAGAACUCUUACACUAUGCACUUUUUCAAUACACAAAUGAUAUUGUACCAUUGAUGAUGUUCUUUUUUUAAACAUUUUCCCCCAACACUCAACUUUAUUAUUAUUAUUUUUUUGUCUUUUUGUCUCUUGUAGGGCUGUACUCACGGCAUUUGGAGGUUCCUGGGCUGGGG
RNAcentral lists this long non-coding RNA (5929 nucleotides) under Sus scrofa (pig). RNAcentral describes it as "lncRNA (ENSSSCG00015005583.1)". Lineage: Eukaryota; Metazoa; Chordata; Mammalia; Artiodactyla; Suidae. The record is from RNAcentral.